AACCUGGUUGAUCCGCCAGUGCAUAUGCUUUUCCUAAAGAUUAAGCCAUGCAUGUCUAAGACUAAGAGGAAGCAAUUCUCUCCGAAUCUGCGAACGGCUCCGCAAACCAGUUGUAAACCAUAGCARGGCUGAGCUCGGCGAACCCUCGGGUGAGCCGGGCAUUAUAUGGAUAACCGUGGUAAUUCUGAGGCUAAUACAUGACAAACCGAACCGUCCUCGGCUUUCGGGCUGGGGGCGGGAACGGUGUGAAGCACAGUAAUCUGGGGAAUUCAUCGUGAAAGAACGCACGUUCAGACCACCGCUGAGUGGGCUCGAUCUCGGUCGGGUCCUGGUGGCCCUUGCAACGGGCUUCUGACCUAUCAACUACACAGCAGCGUAAGGGACAUGCUAUGGUGMCAACGGGUACARAGGAUUAGGGUUCGAUCCUGGAGAGUGGGCCUGAGAGAUUGCUCAUACUUCUAAGGAAGGCAGCAGGCGCGCAACGUUCCCCUUGGGCAUAGCUCGAGGGCGUUAUGGGAAAUAUGAAUGGCUGCCUACAAGGUGGCCAAUUCAAAUGGGUCUGUCGUAAAUAGGCUCUCGAGUAACAAUUAGAGGACAAGUCUGGUUGCCGGACAGCCAGGUGUCAAGAUCUUCCGCGCACAGCAACAAGUGUAGGUUUAUUCUUGGCAGAAAGCCGGGGUUGAGCACCGGUUGUACAAUCGUAAAUUGCGGGGAAAACUGGGUUCGAGCAUUCGGGUACCGCGGCCGAUAAUGGGGAAUUCUAACCCAUACAACGGUGCAGCAGGUGGCGUAACGGCCACUGGAUGGUAAAAACCUCGCUUGCGAACGAGGGGCGUGUCCACGCCCAGCCCUUCGAUGGGCAACUUCUCCCAGUCAAUCCGCAGCCAAGGCUGCUAAACCCUUCGGGGAGUGCGGCAAGGUUCAGAGACUAUAAUCGAUUGGGGGCUUCGGCUCUUAAGGUAUAGUCCACUCCCCCCAGUGAUGGGGCUGGCAAUAGUAGGGGCGCUCAGCCCUGAGGGUAGCCGGAUCCAACGAUCCCAGGACCUAAAUGCCUGGGGGAGGGUGGUAAUGAGGGCCAGCACCCGCGGUAAUUCCAGCUCUAAUAGCAUACGUUAAAGUUGUUGCGGUUAAAACGCUCGUAGUCGGCUUCAGAUCGUCAGAUGCCGGAAUGGGUCUUCGGCUCGUGCCCCUUCAAAGGCGCGUCCGGGAAUUUGUGAAGGCGGGCGGCGUUCAAACGUGCCCAAGGCGUGCCUCGACUUCGGUCAAGGAUUUACAGGGCGUCUCCCUCGCAAGGGGGAUCAAGGCGUCUGGCUUUGGGUACCAUCUACCAUGAUUAAACCGGCGUGAUUAAGGCAACACCAUUAGGUUUCUGCACGGCUCAGCAUGGCAUAGGCGGACGGGAUUCGGCUCCCCCAGUUCAAUAAAAAACUGAGAUGCCGGGUUUCGUAUUCACCGUCAACAGGGGUGUUCGGGGGCAGUCGGAUUGCUUGGUGAGUGGUGAAAUACGUUGAUCCUCGCAAGACGACCCAAGGCGAAAGCAGCUGUCAAGGGCACACCCAUUGAUCAAGAGCGAAAGUUAAGGGUUCGAAGACGAUCAGAUACCGUCGUAGUCUUAACUAUAAAUGAUACUGGCUAGGGAUAGGGCAAUGUCCAUCUCGACUCCCCCUGCACCUUAGGGAAAACCAAAGCCUUUGAGUUCUGGGGGGAGUAUGGUCGCAAGGCUGAAACUUAAAGGAAUUGACGGAAGGGCACACAAAGAGUGGAACCUGCGGCUUAAUUUGACUCAACACGGGAAAACUCACCGGGUCCAGAUACACGUAUGAAAGACAAGCUGAUAGACUCUUCUCAAUAAUGUAAGUGGUGGUGCAUGGCCGUUCUUAGUUCGUGGAGUGGUUUGUCUGGUCUAUUCCGAUAACGAGCGAGACCCCAACGUUCUAACUAGGGGUGGUAGCCCGGCUCGGACCUCCGCGAGGGGGACCUUGCUAGCUUGCCGCUUCGAUAAAAAAGCAUAGCUUCAUAGACGGAUCAGGGCCUGAUAAGGUCCUUGAAAUGGGUUAAUAACAGGUCAGUCAUGCCCUUAGAUGUUCCGGGCCGCACGCGCGUUACAAUGGAAGGUAAAAAAGGUGUUCUUUUUCUGAGCUUAAUCGGUACCGAAAGGUGGCCGGCAUUCCCUAAUACCUCCCUUGACUGGGAUAGUCACUUGGAAUUAUGUGUCUUGAACGAGGAAUUUUUAGUAGUCGGCGGGUCAUUAGCCCGCGACGAAUGCGUCCCUGCCCUUUGUACACACCGCCCGUCGCUGCUACCGAUUGGGUUAGGUAUUUACGCGUUCGGAGGCCAGGGGGCCUGCUGCCUUCGGGUGGCGGAAACCCUAGCCGAAGUUCUAAUUAAUACACGAUCUAGAGGAAGCAGAAGUCGUAACAAGGUAAUCGUAGGUGAACCUGCAGAAGGAUC
RNAcentral lists this ribosomal RNA (2451 nucleotides) under Hyperamoeba sp. 2 EJC. RNAcentral describes it as "SSU rRNA". It matches the Rfam family "Eukaryotic small subunit ribosomal RNA". The record is from RNAcentral. Lineage: Eukaryota; Evosea; Eumycetozoa.